RNAcentral lists this ribosomal RNA (541 nucleotides) under uncultured Bifidobacterium sp. RNAcentral's name for it is "bacterial SSU rRNA". It matches the Rfam family "Bacterial small subunit ribosomal RNA", at positions 355 to 902 of the family's 1533-position model. Lineage: Bacteria; Bacillati; Actinomycetota; Actinomycetes; Bifidobacteriales; Bifidobacteriaceae. The record is from RNAcentral.
UGGGGAAUAUUGCACAAUGGGCGCAAGCCUGAUGCAGCGACGCCGCGUGCGGGAUGGAGGCCUUCGGGUUGUAAACCGCUUUUGAUCGGGAGCAAGCCCUUCGGGGUGAGUGUACCCUUCGAAUAAGCACCGGCUAACUACGUGCCAGCAGCCGCGGUAAUACGUAGGGUGCAAGCGUUAUCCGGAAUUAUUGGGCGUAAAGGGCUCGUAGGCGGUUCGUCGCGUCCGGUGUGAAAGCCCAUCGCUUAACGGUGGGUCUGCGCCGGGUACGGGCGGGCUGGAGUGCGGUAGGGGAGACUGGAAUUCCCGGUGUAACGGUGGAAUGUGUAGAUAUCGGGAAGAACACCAAUGGCGAAGGCAGGUCUCUGGGCCGUCACUGACGCUGAGGAGCGAAAGCGUGGGGAGCGAACAGGAUUAGAUACCCUGGUAGUCCACGCCGUAAACGGUGGAUGCUGGAUGUGGGGCCCGUUCCACGGGUUCCGUGUCGGAGCUAACGCGUUAAGCAUCCCGCCUGGGGAGUACGGCCGCAAGGCUAAAACUC